Molecule: non-coding RNA, 30 nt
Filed under: Mus musculus (house mouse)
Lineage: Eukaryota; Metazoa; Chordata; Mammalia; Rodentia; Muridae
Source: RNAcentral
UGCUAUUUUAAAACAAUGUUAAAUGCCAAC